RNAcentral lists this microRNA (22 nucleotides) under Monodelphis domestica (gray short-tailed opossum). RNAcentral describes it as "mdo-miR-7381-5p". Lineage: Eukaryota; Metazoa; Chordata; Mammalia; Didelphimorphia; Didelphidae. The record is from miRBase by way of RNAcentral.
AAGGUGCCCCGCGCCAGCAUUG